Long non-coding RNA from Anguilla anguilla (European eel), 339 nucleotides. RefSeq lists it as uncharacterized. NCBI's taxonomy places the organism in Eukaryota, Metazoa, Chordata, Actinopteri, Anguilliformes, Anguillidae. The transcript is spliced from 3 exons. The record is from RefSeq and is a predicted model, not a curated record.
AGAACAGGAGCUGGAGCUGAAGACAUCUCAUUCCUGCAGAGCCCAGUGCACACUGGCGGAUCCAGAGAAGGUCUCAGGAGCACUGAUUGAUGUGGCCGAGCACCUGGGCAAUCUGAAGUACAGAGUGUGGGAGAAGAUGCUGGGGACUGUUCAAUACACUCCUGUGACUCUGGACCCAAACACAGCACAUCCCAAACUCUCACUGUCUGAGGAUCUGACCAGGGUGAGACUCAGUGGUGAGAGACAGCAGGUUCCUGAUAAUCCAAAGAGAUUUGAUGAGUGGUCGUUUGUGCUGGGCUCUGAGGGAUUCAGCUCAGGGAGACACUGCUGGGAUGUAGA